UUAUUUAGAAGGACAAAAAGGUUUUUAUUAUUGCGGCAAUUGUACAUGAUGUAGACUGAGGAAAAAUCCAAGUAGAAGUAUUAAAGAAUUCACAUCAAGUAGAAAUCCAGAUGAAGAGUACAAGAUUCAUACAUUAAUAACGUGCAAUACGAUCAAUGUAAUAUAUCUUUUAACCUGCCCAUGUGGUUACCAAUAAGGUCAGAAUAGGCAAACAUAUUAAUAACAGAAAGAAAAAAUUCUUGAACCAUAGUGUUUCUAAACAUUUUGCAGAACAACAAGGGGGUAACCCAGAAGGCCUUCGGUUUUUAGCUAUAGACAAUAUAAAAGUACACUGGAGGGGAGGGUGUAAAGAUAAUAUUUUAAGUUGAGCAGAAAUGAGGUGGAUGUUUAACCUCAACACCCUUA
Pelobates cultripes (western spadefoot toad) is the source of this 405-nucleotide non-coding RNA. Lineage: Eukaryota; Metazoa; Chordata; Amphibia; Anura; Pelobatidae. The record is from the annotation of a GenBank genome assembly.